RNAcentral lists this ribosomal RNA (382 nucleotides) under uncultured eukaryote. RNAcentral's name for it is "partial 18S ribosomal RNA". It matches the Rfam family "Eukaryotic small subunit ribosomal RNA", at positions 592 to 976 of the family's 1831-position model. The record is from RNAcentral.
UGUAAGCGUAUACCAAAGUUGUUGCAGUUAAAACGCUCGUAGUCGGAAUUUGGCAGUUCCGGAUGUGUGCACGUCGUGUGCGCACUUCGCGGGGAUUGCUUUUGUGGUCUUGCGUAGGAUGAGGCACUUUUAUUAGUGAACGUCCUCACGCAACCACUUUUUACUGUGAGAAAAUCAGAGUGCUCAAAGCAGGCAUUUGCCGUGAAUGUAUUAGCAUGGAAUAAUAGAAUAGGACUCGGUUCUAUUUUGUUGGUUUGUUGGGACUGAGUAAUGAUUAAGAGGGACAGUUGGGGGCAUUUGUAUUUCGGCGCUAGAGGUGAAAUUCUUAGAUUGCCGAAAGACAAACUGCUGCGAAAGCGUCAGCCAAGGAUGUUUUCAUUGA